This 77-nucleotide transfer RNA is filed under the name Shewanella algae. RNAcentral's name for it is "tRNA-Val". It matches the Rfam family "tRNA". Rfam says of the family: Transfer RNA (tRNA) molecules are approximately 80 nucleotides in length. Their secondary structure includes four short double-helical elements and three loops (D, anti-codon, and T loops). Lineage: Bacteria; Pseudomonadati; Pseudomonadota; Gammaproteobacteria; Alteromonadales; Shewanellaceae. The record is from RNAcentral. RNAcentral also lists the same sequence under 62 other names.
ACACCCGUAGCUCAGUUGGUUAGAGCACUACCUUGACAUGGUAGGGGUCGGUGGUUCGAGUCCACUCGGGUGUACCA